GACGAACGCUGGCGGCGUGCCUAAUACAUGCAAGUAGAACGCUGAAGAGAGGAGCUUGCUCUUCUUGGAUGAGUUGCGAACGGGUGAGUAACGCGUAGGUAACCUGCCUGGUAGCGGGGGAUAACUAUUGGAAACGAUAGCUAAUACCGCAUGAUAUUAAUUGUCGCCUGAUAAUUAAUUGAAAGAUGCAAUUGCAUCACUACCAGAUGGACCUGCGUUGUAUUAGCUAGUUGGUGAGGUAACGGCUCACCAAGGCGACGAUACAUAGCCGACCUGAGAGGGUGAUCGGCCACACUGGGACUGAGACACGGCCCAGACUCCUACGGGAGGCAGCAGCUAGGGAAUCUUCGGCAAUGAGGGGAACCCUGACCGAGCAACGCCGCGUGAGUGAAGAAGGUUUUCGGAUCGUAAAGCUCUGUUGUAAGAGAAGAACGGGUGUGAGAGUGGAAAGUUCACACUGUGACGGUAUCUUACCAGAAAGGGACGGG
This 488-nucleotide ribosomal RNA is filed under the name Streptococcus sanguinis. RNAcentral describes it as "bacterial SSU rRNA". It matches the Rfam family "Bacterial small subunit ribosomal RNA", at positions 28 to 497 of the family's 1533-position model. The record is from RNAcentral. Lineage: Bacteria; Bacillati; Bacillota; Bacilli; Lactobacillales; Streptococcaceae.